Molecule: ribosomal RNA, 274 nt
Filed under: uncultured bacterium
Lineage: Bacteria
Description: partial 16S ribosomal RNA
Rfam family: Bacterial small subunit ribosomal RNA
Source: RNAcentral
AUACGAAGGGGGCUAGCGUUGUUCGGAUUUACUGGGCGUAAAGCGCACGUAGGCGGAUUGAUUAGUUAGGGGUGAAAUCCCGAGGCUCAACCUCGGAACUGCCUUUAAUACUGUCAAUCUCGAGACCGGAAGAGGUGAGUGGAACUCCUAGUGUAGAGGUGGAAUUCGUAGAUAUUAGGAAGAACACCAGUGGCGAAGGCGGCUCACUGGUCCGGUACUGACGCUGAGGUGCGAAAGCGUGGGGAGCGAACAGGAUUAGAAACCCCAGUAGUCC